This 408-nucleotide long non-coding RNA is filed under the name Nicotiana benthamiana. RNAcentral describes it as "long non-coding RNA (NBEN_LNC005444)". Lineage: Eukaryota; Viridiplantae; Streptophyta; Magnoliopsida; Solanales; Solanaceae. The record is from RNAcentral.
UUUGUUUAUACCUUUUAUUUACACCCCUAAUAUUCCAAAAUAAACACUUCAUUUGAUAUGACUAGGGCCCCCAUCAUCUAGGGGAUUAGCUGAUCUACUCUCUGACAUAACAUGAAAUCUGUUGCUCAUCACCACAGGAGAUAGAGGAGGGAAGUUUGUAAGGUUGAAAUCUGGAGAUUGAACCUGUUUGCCUUUGUCUAUCUGUUUAUGAACCUCUGGUUCACCUAUAGGAGCCACAAUUUCCUUGGUAGAUACAACACUCUUCAAAGUAUCCAAUUGCUGAUUAGGAACAUCUUGCUGCUGUAAGUUACUCUGGUUUGGAGCUUUUGGUCUCCAUUCCUGUAGUACUUUAGUUUUCAGCACCUGGUUGGCUUGUGGAGGUUUAGGAUUAGCCAUACAGUUAUGUCC